Lytechinus pictus (painted urchin) is the source of this 825-nucleotide long non-coding RNA. RefSeq lists it as uncharacterized. The transcript is spliced from 3 exons. Lineage: Eukaryota; Metazoa; Echinodermata; Echinoidea; Temnopleuroida; Toxopneustidae. The record is from RefSeq and is a predicted model, not a curated record.
AAAACCAGACUAUUGGUGAGAGACAAUAAAUGCGCUAGGACGUCAUUUAAAUACGCGUGUCAUCAAACUUUUGUCUGGCGCGCGUCGCGAGGAAAAACAAAACAAACAACCCGCGGGGAAAAAAAAUGUCAGGCGCAUUUUUAUUUUUCAGAACUGUGGAUAUCGGCUCGAUAUAUUUGGUGGCGGGUUCGGAUACAUGUUGAUUGAAUUUAAUUCCCUUGGCUGAAAUCCAUGAAGGCACGGGAUCUACAGAGCAACUGUAUUAGUGCAGUGAGAACAAGACAUCUCAGAACCAACAUACAGCUGACAGCAGCCCUUCAAGAAGUACUUUAAGACUCUGAUAUGGGAUUCACCAUUACCACAGCUUCAGAUUUGAGUCAUCGGAACGUGGCAUUUUUAAGACUGGAACAUGAAGAAAGCAAACAAUGCAGAGGAAGAAAAUUAUCCCCUUUGGUGAACCCUGCUGACAUAGUCUCUCAGAUACUCCCUGAUAAGCUAUCAACUGGAUUUUCCAAAUAGAGGGAAUAUGAUAUAUGGAAAGAUCUUAGAUGAGGACAAGGCACCUCGCGGCCUCCCCGGUAGGAGAGGAAAUUGAACAAUGAAUACAUGUUUUACUUUGAAUGAACAAACUCUGAAGUUUUUCGAUAAAAAAAUUAAACUUAAUUUGUAACGUUUGCUAACCAAUUAGAAGGAUGUCAUUGUAGAAAAUUGAAAUGUGGUAAGUUUGCUGCUGUAUUAAGAAGUUUGUGAUAAUGUUAAACACACACACUAGGGAGAGAUUAUCGUGUUUUAUAUAAUUUUUAGUGCAAAUUUGGACAGUGGAGA